Triticum aestivum (bread wheat) is the source of this 125-nucleotide non-coding RNA. The record is from Rfam. NCBI's taxonomy places the organism in Eukaryota, Viridiplantae, Streptophyta, Magnoliopsida, Poales, Poaceae.
UUUGUACUCCCUCCGUCCCAAAAAGAUUGUUCCUCAAAUGGAUGUAUCUAGCAUUAAGUUAGUGUUAGAUACAUCCAUUUGAGAGACAAGCUUGAGACAAGCUUUUUCGGACGGAGGGGUAUCAU